GACGAACGCUGGCGGCGUGCCUAAUACAUGCAAGUUGAGCGAUGAAGAUUGGUGCUUGCACCCAUUUGAAGAGCAGCGAACGGGUGAGUAACGCGUGGGGAAUCUGCCUUUGAGCGGGGGACAACAUUUGGAAACGAAUGCUAAUACCGCAUAACAACUUUAAACAUAAGUUUUAAGUUUGAAAGAUGCAAUUGCAUCACUCAAAGAUGAUCCCGCGUUGUAUUAGCUAGUUGGUGAGGUAAAGGCUCACCAAGGCGAUGAUACAUAGCCGACCUGAGAGGGUGAUCGGCCACAUUGGGACUGAGACACGGCCCAAACUCCUACGGGAGGCAGCAGUAGGGAAUCUUCGGCAAUGGACGAAAGUCUGACCGAGCAACGCCGCGUGAGUGAAGAAGGUUUUCGGAUCGUAAAACUCUGUUGGUAGAGAAGAACGUUGGUGAGAGUGGAAAGCUCAUCAAGUGACGGUAACUACCCAGAAAGGGACGGCUAACUACGUGC
RNAcentral lists this ribosomal RNA (498 nucleotides) under uncultured bacterium. RNAcentral describes it as "partial 16S ribosomal RNA". It matches the Rfam family "Bacterial small subunit ribosomal RNA", at positions 28 to 508 of the family's 1533-position model. The record is from RNAcentral.